UACGUAGGUGGCAAGCGUUGUCCGGAAUUACUGGGCGUAAAGCGAGCGCAGACGGUUGUUUAAGUCAGAUGUGAAAUCCCCGAGCUCAACUUGGGAACUGCGUUUGAAACUGGGUAACUAGAGUGUGUCAGAGGGGGGUAGAAUUCCACGUGUAGCAGUGAAAUGCGUAGAGAUGUGGAGGAAUACCGAUGGCGAAGGCAGCCCCCUGGGAUAACACUGACGUUCAUGCUCGAAAGCGUGGGGAGCAAACAGG
This 253-nucleotide ribosomal RNA is filed under the name uncultured bacterium. RNAcentral's name for it is "partial 16S ribosomal RNA". It matches the Rfam family "Bacterial small subunit ribosomal RNA", at positions 524 to 776 of the family's 1533-position model. The record is from RNAcentral.